This is a long non-coding RNA of Leopardus geoffroyi (Geoffroy's cat), 2447 nucleotides long. RefSeq lists it as uncharacterized. Lineage: Eukaryota; Metazoa; Chordata; Mammalia; Carnivora; Felidae. The record is from RefSeq and is a predicted model, not a curated record. The transcript is spliced from 4 exons.
CCCCGCACCCCCACGCAUGCGCGCGCAGGCGUACUGGUCCGCCGCCCCGCCCCGCCCACCGCCCGCCGGAGGUAGCCGUUGGGAGGCGGUUGGGCGGGGCAACGGCCGCCGCUUGGAGGCCCCGCCCCCGGCUGGGCCCUGGGGGAGCUGAGGUUUCCGACGGAAACGGGCGGUGCGCGCCGAGUCCUUGAACCUGGGCACUCCGGUCGGCCGCCUCAGGGUUGGCGGCGGAAGGACUCUUCGUUGGGGAGAAAAGCCUUCCCCGUACCGAAGGAGGAAGACCUAGAUUUAAAACAGGAGCGAGGCAGCUGAUGAGAACCACACACGCGCCUUGGAUCUGUGCUACACCUUAGCUGCGGGAACACUCCAUUCACCUUUAAUUCUUUGGAAGGCAGACCAGAUGGUUCUUGCCGACAGACAGUUUGGAUCUUCUUGCCCCCUGCUCUAAAAACUCAGGGACCUCGGCUCACGUAAACCCUUGGCCUUGUGAGCCACGCCCCCUCACCGGCACACGCAUCACAUGCUACAAUGUGGCACACAUAAACAGCCCAUCUUCCCGACCAGCCUUAUUCCUCACCGUCCCUAAGUGGGUUUUCUCCACUCCUGCACACUGGUCACCUAGCUAUCCAACCAGGUGGCCUGGCCCUUGCUUCUCAGAGGAGUGACCUGGCUAAAGUCACAUGACUGGAUUUUAGACAGGAUGACGACUGCAGCCCAAAGCUCAGGGGUCCCAGACUGGCAGAGAAACGCAUGAACCAAAUCAGCUGCAAGCCACUUCCCCAAGGAGCGGACAAGGGCCAAGGGACUGAUGUCAGAAAGCAACCAGGAGCAGACAGGAGCCACAGUCAAAGGCCCAAACUGGCCAAUGGAAUGUGUCAGAAACAAAGGCACAGCGUUGUGCCUCAACCCAGAAAGCAAUGUGAUGCUCUAGAAAACACACCCUACAAAUACUGCAGGCUAUAUAUACAGAGAGGAGUGUCAAGUCCUGACGAGACCGGGUCCUGAGCCAUCGCUGUCACAGACGGAGAAACUGAGGCACACACAGGACCAAUGACCUCUCCCCAACAUCACUGGCACAUGAGGGACAAGGGCCCACGAUCCCCUCCCCGCCGUUCCCAAACCCCAUAGCUCGAAAAGCCCAAAGAAUUUAAGUUUGCGCCAGGCCCGUGUGGUUGACAAAGGCUGUCUGAGGCCGUUCCACCUUUGUCUGUCCAGCUGUGUGUGAAUGUUACGAAGUCUGGCUACAGAAGUGUUACUUUUUGAUGAGGGAGCGCGGCCAGCCCAGAUACCUCGGGGUAUCGUGUCACGUAUAGGACACGCUGCUGGAAAGUGCAAGUUCUGAAUUCGGAGUUGGCUCGGGUGUCCCGGGCCUCCGGACACAUCUUACGGAUAAGGGUGGCCUGAGAUCCACGUCAGCGAGCAGGUGGAAUGAGCCCAAAUAAAGGUGUUUGGGGGCGGGCGGGGGGGCGGUGGGGGGAGCAGUGCAGCAGCACAGGAGAAGGGCCAGGGGACGAGGCUUCACGUCAGCUCUGCUGAGGACACCAGGAGACCUUGGGCAAGUCACUUCCCUGGAUAGGCCUUCAAUUUCCUCAUCAGGAAAAACGGGAUGACGGCGAUCCUUUGGACACCCCUCGUUGUGCCAAAGCAUUGCGGUGAUGCCUAAGAAGGCCUGGCGGAAGGGCUCUGAACUUCUUCUGUUCAUGCAGUAAGAGAUACGGUGCAGCUUAGGAAAGAACCCCACCCCCGCCUCUGACACACCAACCACACCACGGACACCCCGUGCCAGGUCCGCGACAUGCACAUCUCACACAGCGUCACACCACAGAAAAUUUGGACGCAAAGGGGUAAAACCAGGGAACCAUCUGUGCCCCAGCUGCGCCGCUCCCCCCUCCCCAAUGGCCGGGGCUCCCUCCCUGCAUCAUUCUGGCAACUACCUGGUUCAUUUGUCUUAAAGUGAAUCUUUCAGAACUGGAUUACUGCACCUAACCAUGCGAUUUUGCAUGCGAUUCCCUUACCUCACUUAGUACUAAGUUUCACAAGGAGACUUCUGGAGGCAUGAGCAAGCAGAUGUCCUAUUUGAAAAGGGUCUGACCAACAGCCCAGGUAACUGGGCCUGCCUCUUACCCUAAGAACGCCCCGAGCUCGCCUAAUUCUCAGGCUCACGGAAGAGAAGUACAGAAAGGACAAAAGUUCCAUCAGCCCCAUUUGUGCCUUUUUCCUUUUUAGCCCCGAAACGUGGUGGUGGCUUUCCUCACACUUCCUAGAGGCUCUGAUGUUUACAUCUUUGUGAGUUUUUUCUUCGUGCCUGAUUACAAGAGUAACAGAUCUUUGGUACAGACAGUCAAGUACAGCAAAAUAUAAAAUAAGAUUUAAAAAUCACGGCCUGGGGGUGCCUGGGUGGCGCAGUCGGUUAAGCAUCCGACUUCAGCCAGGUCACGAUCUCGCGG